This 107-nucleotide ribosomal RNA is filed under the name Parcubacteria group bacterium. The record is from RNAcentral.
CUUGGUGAUUUGACGCAGUGGGUACACCUGUUCUCAUUCCGAACACAGAAGUUAAGCGCUGUAGUGGCGAUGGUAGUCGUAAAGGCGAGAGUAGCUAGUCGCCAAGA